RNAcentral lists this ribosomal RNA (168 nucleotides) under uncultured Tepidanaerobacter sp. Its description in RNAcentral is "partial 16S ribosomal RNA". It matches the Rfam family "Bacterial small subunit ribosomal RNA", at positions 338 to 524 of the family's 1533-position model. Lineage: Bacteria; Bacillati; Bacillota; Clostridia; Thermosediminibacterales; Tepidanaerobacteraceae. The record is from RNAcentral.
CCUACGGGAGGCAGCAGUGGGGAAUCUUGCGCAAUGGGCGAAAGCCUGACGCAGCGACGCCGCGUGAGCGAAGAAGGCCUUCGGGUCGUAAAGCUCAGUCAUUGGGGAUGAGAUGACAGUACCCAAGGAGGAAGCCCCGGCUAACUACGUGCCAGCAGCCGCGGUAAU